AUUGAACGCUGGCGGCAGGCCUAACACAUGCAAGUCGAACGGUAACACAGAGAGCUUGCUCUCGGGUGACGAGUGGCGGACGGGUGAGUAAUGUCUGGGAAACUGCCUGAUGGGAGGGGGAUAACUACUGGAAACGGUAACUAAUACCGCAUAAUGUCGCAAGACCAAAGAGGGGGACCUUAGGGCCUCUUGCCAUCAGAUGUGCCCAGAUGGGAUUAGCUAGG
RNAcentral lists this ribosomal RNA (224 nucleotides) under uncultured bacterium. RNAcentral's name for it is "partial 16S ribosomal RNA". It matches the Rfam family "Bacterial small subunit ribosomal RNA", at positions 30 to 249 of the family's 1533-position model. The record is from RNAcentral.